Molecule: unclassified non-coding RNA, 250 nt
Filed under: plant metagenome
Description: partial contains small subunit ribosomal RNA, internal transcribed spacer 1, and 5.8S ribosomal RNA
Source: RNAcentral
GUAGGUGAACCUGCGGAAGGAUCAUUAUUGAAUAAAUCUGGUCAGUUGUAGCUGGCUCUCCGGAGCAUGUGCACGCUGGUCACCUUUAUCUUUCCACCUGUGAACACACUGUAGUCCUGGAUACCUCUCGCCACAAGGCGGAUGCGUAGUUUGGCGUGCUGCUCACAAGAGCGGUCGGCUUACCGCGAAUUUCCAGGUCUAUGAUUAUACAAACCCCAAACGAAUGUAACAGAAUGUAAUCAUUGGGCCU